GACGAACGCUGGCGGCGUGCUUAACACAUGCAAGUCGAACGGAAAGGCCCUGCUUUUGUGGGGUGCUCGAGUGGCGAACGGGUGAGUAACACGUGAGUAACCUGCCCUUGACUUUGGGAUAACUUCAGGAAACUGGGGCUAAUACCGGAUAGGAGCUCCUGCUGCAUGGUGGGGGUUGGAAAGUUUCGGCGGUUGGGGAUGGACUCGCGGCUUAUCAGCUUGUUGGUGGGGUAGUGGCUUACCAAGGCUUUGACGGGUAGCCGGCCUGAGAGGGUGACCGGCCACAUUGGGACUGGGCUACGGCCCAGACUCCUACGGGACGCAGCAGUGGGGAAUAUUGCACAAUGGGCUGAAGCCUGAUGCAGCAACGCCGCGUGCGGGAUGACGGCCUUCGGGUUGUAAACCGCUUUCGCCUGUGACGAAGCGUGAGUGACGGUAAUGGGUAAAGAAGCACCGGCUAACUACGUG
Molecule: ribosomal RNA, 468 nt
Filed under: uncultured bacterium
Lineage: Bacteria
Description: partial 16S ribosomal RNA
Rfam family: Bacterial small subunit ribosomal RNA
Source: RNAcentral